Molecule: ribosomal RNA, 108 nt
Filed under: Burkholderia ubonensis
Lineage: Bacteria; Pseudomonadati; Pseudomonadota; Betaproteobacteria; Burkholderiales; Burkholderiaceae
Description: partial 16S ribosomal RNA
Rfam family: Bacterial small subunit ribosomal RNA
Source: RNAcentral
UUGAACUGAAGAGUUUGAUCCUGGCUCAGAUUGAACGCUGGCGGCAUGCCUUACACAUGCAAGUCGAACGGCAGCACGGGCUUCGGCCUGGUGGCGAGUGGCGAACGG